UGGGGAAUAUUGCACAAUGGGCGCAAGCCUGAUGCAGCCAUGCCGCGUGUAUGAAGAAGGCCUUCGGUUGUAAAGUACUUUCAGCGGGAGGAAGGCGUUGUGGUUAAUAACCACAGCGAUUGACGUUACCGCAGAAGAAGCACCGGCUAACUCCGUGUCAG
Molecule: ribosomal RNA, 161 nt
Filed under: uncultured bacterium
Lineage: Bacteria
Description: partial 16S rRNA
Rfam family: Bacterial small subunit ribosomal RNA
Source: RNAcentral